UACGUAGGGGCCGAGCGUUGUCCGGAAUUACUGGGCGUAAAGGGCUCGUAGGUGGCCAACUAAGUCAGACGUGAAAUCCCCAGGCUUAACCUGGGAACUGCGUCUGAUACUGGAUGGCUUGAAUUCGGGAGAGGGAUGCAGAAUUCCAGGUGUAGCGGUGAAAUGCGUAGAUAUCUGGAGGAAUACCGGUGGCGAAGGCGGCAUCCUGGACCGAGAUUGACACUGAUGAGCGAAAGCCAGGGGAGCAAACGGG
RNAcentral lists this ribosomal RNA (253 nucleotides) under uncultured bacterium. Its description in RNAcentral is "partial 16S ribosomal RNA". It matches the Rfam family "Bacterial small subunit ribosomal RNA", at positions 524 to 776 of the family's 1533-position model. The record is from RNAcentral.